Molecule: long non-coding RNA, 1457 nt
Organism: Canis lupus familiaris (dog)
Lineage: Eukaryota; Metazoa; Chordata; Mammalia; Carnivora; Canidae
Exons: 3
Source: RefSeq, a predicted model, not a curated record
GUCAAUCUCCGGCAAAGGGGCUGGCCCCACGCUGCUGCCCAGGUAUGGGUUCUGAAUUCCAACCCACACCCGGGCUGGUGCGCCCUUCCAAGUCAGACACCCAGGCACCAGCCCUUCCAGACCAUGCAGUCAUCCUUCUCCCCGUCCCCCAAAAGAGAGAGCAUGGGGUCAAGAGGAUCUCCAGUGCCAUGAACCCCUGAUGGCCUCCCCUGGAUGGAGCCUCAGACCGCAGGAAGCCUUCAGAUGGGUACAUACUUGCCAGCUGGAAGGAACCCAUUCCUACCCAUUCUGCAAGGAAUUGGGAGGAAGGCCUGGAGAAGGGGGAGCAGUGCCCAGACCCUGCCCUGGAGCCCCGUGGCCCACAUGUGGCCUCGCAGGGGCUUGGAGAGCCAGGGAGAGGUGGGAGGUAGCCCAGGGAAGGUGCCUGCCUGAAUCACCUGCCGGCACUGAUCGGUGACCCAGCUGCCCAGGCCCCAUCCAGAAGGGGCAGAGCUGAACGGGGUGGGGGCAUGACCUGGGAAUCUGCAUCCUAACCCAGCCUCUGGUCCUUGCCCUGCCUUUCAGCAGAGAGUCCCUUGUCUUGUUUUAUGAGCUCGCCUGGAAGAGUGACCCCAGAAGCUUGCUCAGUAGUUCUUCCAGAAAGCCCUUGGGAACAAAAGUGACGUACUUGUGGUAGGCAGAGUCUGGAUUAAAUAUUCCCUGCGCCACUGCGUCCUUGGCGUCGUUACCUCCCGGGCCAGAUCAGCAGCUCCAGCCCAGUCUCUCCCAAGUCUCAGCCUGUGUGUGUAUCCAGGUUGCUGCGGGGUGUGUCCAUGUGGGUGUCCCUCAUUCAUCAGGCCAGAAACAUAACUUAUCAAACCCCCCUCUUCCCCAAAAAAGAAUCUUCUCUCCGUGGGCAAAUAAAUGGCUUCUUCUAUACUGUGACUCCAGCCAGAAAUCUGAAACGUCUUGGACACCCUGCUCUCCCCAUGGACCCUACUCUCUAGAUCCAUCUAGAUCCAUCCUCUGCACCUAGUCCAUUGGAUUUCACUCCCUGAAGAGACCUCAAGGCUGAACACCUUCCUCUGUGCCCCACCCCCAGCCAGGCUGAUCAAGCCACUGCCGGCUCUCAAAGCCCUUUUGUCUCCUGACUCCCCUCUUGCUCCCUCUCACAGGGCUUGCUCCUCCAGGGCGGCCCUCCCUUCUCCUCCUAGAGUAUAGUGAUGGCCUAAACCUGCAGUGUCCAGUGCAGGGACGCCUCCCACACAAAGGCCACUGAGCACAUGAAAGGUGGCCAGUCCAAAGGAGAUUUUCAAGGUUUGUACCCCCAAAAAAGGAAUGAAAAAUCCCUCAUUAAUAUUUUUAAAAAUGCAGUGAUAUAUGGAAUGAGUACUAUUUUGGAUGCAAAGUUUCGAUAUCAACUUUUUUUUUUUUUUUUUUUUUUAAGAUUUAAAAUUUUCAGGCAACCGGGUGGCUCU